ACCCGUGGGGGGCGCCUAACACAUGCAAGUCGAACGAAGUAGCAAUACUUAGUGGCAGACGGGUGAGUAACAUGUAGGUAUCUACCCUUUGGCCUGGAAUAACACGAGGAAACUUGUGCUAAUACCGGAUAAGUCUUUACGGAGAAAGCUUUAUGCACCAUUGGAUGAGCCUGCACUUGAUUAGUUUGUUGGUAGGGUAAUGGCCUACCAAGACUGUGAUCAAUAGCUGAUUUGAGAGGAUGAUCAGCCACAUUGGGACUGAGACACGGCCCAAACUCCUACGGGAGGCAGCAGUGGGGAAUCUUGCACAAUGGAGGAAACUCUGAUGCAGCGAUGCCGCGUGAGUGAAGAAGGCCCUUGGGUUGUAAAGCUCUUUCGUCGGGGAAGAAAAUGACUGUACCCGAAUAAGAAGGUCCGGCUAACUUCGUGCCAGCAGCCGCGGUAAUACGAAGGGACCUAGCGUAGUUCGGAAUUACUGGGCUUAAAGAGUUCGUAGGUGGUUGAAAAAGUUAGUGGUGAAAUCCCAGAGCUUAACUCUGGAACUGCCAUUAAAACUUUUCAGCUAGAGUAUGAUAGAGGAAAGCAGAAUUUCUAGUGUAGAGGUGAAAUUCGUAGAUAUUAGAAAGAAUACCAAUUGCGAAGGCAGCUUUCUGGAUCAUUACUGACACUGAGGAACGAAAGCAUGGGUAGCGAAGAGGAUUAGAUACCCUCGUAGUCCAUGCCGUAAACGAUGUGUGUUAGACGUUGGAAAUUUAUUUUCAGUGUCGCAGCGAAAGCGAUAAACACACCGCCUGGGGAGUACGACCGCAAGGUUAAAACUCAAAUGAAUUGACGGGGACCCGCACAAGUAGUGGAGCAUGUGGUUUAAUUCGAAGAUACGCGCAGAACCUUACCAACACUUGACAUGUUCGUCGCGACUCUAAGAGAUUAGAGUUUUCGGUUCGGCCGGACGAAACACAGGUGCUGCAUGGCUGUCGUCAGCUCGUGUCGUGAGAUGUUGGGUUAAGUCCCGCAACGAGCGCAACCCUCACUUUUAGUUGCCAUCAUUUAGUUGGGCACUCUGAAAGAACUGCCAGUGAUAAGCUGGAGGAAGGUGGGGAUGACGUCAAGUCCUCAUGGCCCUUACGUGUUGGGCUACACACGUGCUACAAUGGUAUCUACAACAGGAAGCAAGACUGCGAGGUCAAGCAAAUCCUUAAAAGAUACCUCAGUUCGGAUUGCACUCUGCAACUCGAGUGCAUGAAGCUGGAAUUACUAGUAAUCGUGGAUCAGCGUGCCACGGUGAAUGCGUUCCCGGGUCUUGUACACACCGCCCGUCACACCAUGGGAGUUGGUUCUACCUUAAGGCAAGGUUUAAAACCCCUGACCAUCGUAAUGACGAGCGG
RNAcentral lists this ribosomal RNA (1385 nucleotides) under uncultured bacterium. RNAcentral describes it as "bacterial SSU rRNA". It matches the Rfam family "Bacterial small subunit ribosomal RNA". The record is from RNAcentral.